GAUGAAGAACGUAGCGAAUUGCGAUAUGUAAUGUGAAUUGCAGAAUUCAGUGAAUCAUCGAAUCUUUGAACGCACAUUGCGCCCGCUGGUAUUCCGGCGGGCAUGCCUGUUCGAGCGUCAUUUCAACCCUCAAGCCCCCGGGUUUGGUGUUGGGGAUCGGCUCUGCCCUUCUGGGCGGUGCCGCCCCCGAAAUACAUUGGCGGUCUCGCUGCAGCCUCCAUUGCGUAGUAGCUAACACCUCGCAACUGGAACGCGGCGCGGCCAUGCCGUAAAACCCCAACUUCUGAAUGUUGACCUCGGAUCAGGUAGGAAUACCCGCUGAACUUAAGCAUAUCAAUAAGCGAGGA
This 347-nucleotide unclassified non-coding RNA is filed under the name soil metagenome. RNAcentral describes it as "partial contains 5.8S ribosomal RNA, internal transcribed spacer 2, and large subunit ribosomal RNA". The stretch from base 1 to 120 matches the Rfam family "5.8S ribosomal RNA", at positions 35 to 154 of the family's 154-position model. The record is from RNAcentral.